RNAcentral lists this ribosomal RNA (373 nucleotides) under uncultured organism. RNAcentral's name for it is "partial 16S ribosomal RNA". It matches the Rfam family "Bacterial small subunit ribosomal RNA", at positions 527 to 896 of the family's 1533-position model. The record is from RNAcentral.
GUAGGUGGCAAGCGUUGUCCGGAAUUAUUGGGCGUAAAGCGCGCGCAGGUGGUUCUUUAAGUCUGAUGUGAAAGCCCCCGGCUCAACCGGGGAGGGUCAUUGGAAACUGGGGAACUUGAGUGCAGGAGAGGAAAGUGGAAUUCCACGUGUAGCGGUGAAAUGCGUAGAUAUGUGGAGGAACACCAGUGGCGAAGGCGACUUUCUGGCCUGUAACUGACACUGAGGCGCGAAAGCGUGGGGAGCAAACAGGGAUUAGAUACCCUGGUAGUCCACGCCGUAAACGAUGAGUGCUAAGUGUUGGGGGGGUUUUCGCCCCUCAGUGCUGCAGCUAACGCAUUAAGCACUCCGCCUGGGGAGUACGGUCGCAAGACUG